AGAGUUUGGAUCCUGGCUCAGAACGAACGCUGGCGGCGUGGAUUAGGCAUGCAAGUCGAACGAGAAACCUUUCAAUCAAUUCUUCGGAAGAGAGAGAGAGGUGGACAGUGGCGGAAGGGUGAGUAACGCGUGGGUAAUUUACCUUUAUGUCGGGGAUAGCUCUUGGAAACGGGAGGUAAUACCGGAUGUGGUCGUCCCGCUCCUGUGGGAUUGUCUAAAGGUGGGGAUUCUUCGGAACCUGCCGCAUGAAGAUGAGCCCGCGUCCCAUCAGCUUGUUGGUAGGGUAAUGGCCUACCAAGGCAUAGACGGGUAGCCGGCCUGAGAGGGUGUUCGGCCACACUGGGACUGAGACACUGCCCAGACUCCUACGGGAGGCUGCAGUCGAGAAUCAUUCGCAAUGCACGAAAGUGCGACGAUGCGACGUCGCGUGUAGGAUGAAGGCCUUCGGGUUGUAAACUACUGUCAUGAGGGAAAAAUAGCUCGGGUAUCAAUACCACCUGAGUCUGAUGGUACCUCAAGAGGAAGCCACGGCUAACUCUGUGCCAGCAGCCGCGGUAAUACAGAGGUGGCGAGCGUUGUUCGGAUUUACUGGGCGUAAAGGGUGCGUAGGCGGCUUCGUAUGUCGGGUGUGAAAGCCCACGGCUCAACCGUGGAACUGCAUUCGAAACUGCGAUGGCUAGAGUACUGGAGAGGUGAGCG
RNAcentral lists this ribosomal RNA (699 nucleotides) under uncultured bacterium. RNAcentral's name for it is "bacterial SSU rRNA". It matches the Rfam family "Bacterial small subunit ribosomal RNA", at positions 8 to 663 of the family's 1533-position model. The record is from RNAcentral.